GGGGGCAAGCGUUGUUCGGAAUUACUGGGCGUAAAGGGCUCGUAGGCGGCCAACUAAGUCAGACGUGAAAUCCCUCGGCUUAACCGGGGAACUGCAUCUGAUACUGGAUGGCUUGAGAUUGGGAGAGGGAUGCGGAAUUCCAGGUGUAGCGGUGAAAUGCGUAGAUAUCUGGAGGAACACCGGUGGCGAAGGCGGCAUCCUGGACCAACACUGACGCUGAGGAGCGAAAGCCAGGGGAGCAAACGGG
Molecule: ribosomal RNA, 247 nt
Filed under: uncultured bacterium
Lineage: Bacteria
Description: partial 16S ribosomal RNA
Rfam family: Bacterial small subunit ribosomal RNA
Source: RNAcentral